RNAcentral lists this long non-coding RNA (257 nucleotides) under Lathyrus oleraceus (garden pea). RNAcentral's name for it is "Pisum sativum (pea) long non-coding RNA (PSAT_LNC017254)". The record is from RNAcentral. Lineage: Eukaryota; Viridiplantae; Streptophyta; Magnoliopsida; Fabales; Fabaceae.
CUCUUGACCUUGUGAUUGCUCAAGCUACAAACAAAAGAUGUUAGUGACAUAUUUUUGUGCUUUUGGUUAAUGAAUAAAGAUGAGAAAAGCAAUAAUGUACAAUUUCAAGCAUACAUGGUGAUCUCAAACCACUCACAAGAGGUCCCACCCAAAGGCAAAGGGAACCAAGAUGCUCAUGAUCCUUGAGGCUUUGCAAAUGCAAUAUUAUGAUGCCAUGAGGGAUCUUAGGGUCAAAAUUGGGGUCUUACAGAUGCCCC